Molecule: ribosomal RNA, 687 nt
Filed under: Reticulitermes amamianus
Lineage: Eukaryota; Metazoa; Arthropoda; Insecta; Blattodea; Rhinotermitidae
Description: partial 16S ribosomal RNA
Rfam family: Archaeal large subunit ribosomal RNA (bases 346-508)
Source: RNAcentral
UUAGGGGUUUCUGGUUUUUCAAGAAAUGAAUUUAAUUCAUACGUCUUAUUUAGAGUUUUAUUAUUUGUUUAUUUAUUUUUAUUUGGCGUUAAGAUUGGGAGGGAUUAGCUUCUUAUUUUAUUUUUAUAAUUUUUUGUUUUUUUAGUCUUGUGGGUUUUAUAGUGAUUUUCAAUUUGAUUAUGUUAAAAUUUUAUUUGUUUUAUUCUGUUAUUUUUAUUUAUUUAAUUAUUUAUUGAAAUGUAUUCUUUAUCUUUGGUUUAUGGUUAGUAAUUAUUGUAGAAUUAGUAAAUUUGUUGUUAAAUUGUUUUAUUUGUGUUAAUUUUCUUUGAGGAACUAGGCAAAUUUCAUGUCCGCCUGUUUAACAAAAACAUCUUUUCUUGUUAGUUUUUGAAGUAUGGCCUGCCCGCUGACUUUGGUGUUGAAGGGCCGCGGUAUUUUGACCGUGCAAAGGUAGCAUAGUCAUUAGUUCUUUAAUUGUGAUCUGGUAUGAAUGGCUUGACGAGGCAUGGGCUGUCUUAAUUUUGAAUUGUUUAUUGAAUUUGGUCUUUGAGUUAAAAUUCUUAGAUGUUUUUAUGGGACGAGAAGACCCUAUAGAGUUUAACAUUUGUUAUGGUCCCCUUUCUGUUUGUGAGGGUUCACUGGGCCGUUUAAUAUGUUUUGUUGGGGUGAUGGGAGGGAUUAAUUUAA